GACGAACGCUGGCGGCGUGCCUAAUACAUGCAAGUAGAACGCUGAAGAGAGGAGCUUGCUCUUCUUGGAUGAGUUGCGAACGGGUGAGUAACGCGUAGGUAACCUGCCUUGUAGCGGGGGAUAACUAUUGGAAACGAUAGCUAAUACCGCAUAACAAUAGGUGACACAUGUCAUUUAUUUGAAAGGGGCAAUUGCUCCACUACAAGAUGGACCUGCGUUGUAUUAGCUAGUAGGUGAGGUAACGGCUCACCUAGGCGACGAUACAUAGCCGACCUGAGAGGGUGAUCGGCCACACUGGGACUGAGACACGGCCCAGACUCCUACGGGAGGCAGCAGUAGGGAAUCUUCGGCAAUGGGGGCAACCCUGACCGAGCAACGCCGCGUGAGUGAAGAAGGUUUUCGGAUCGUAAAGCUCUGUUGUAAGUCAAGAACGAGUGUGAGAGUGGAAAGUUCACACUGUGACGGUAGCUUACCAGAAAGGGACGGCUAACUACGUGCCAGCAGCCGCGGUAAUACGUAGGUCCCGAGCGUUGUCCGGAUUUAUUGGGCGUAAAGCGAGCGCAGGCGGUUUGAUAAGUCUGAAGUUAAAGGCUGUGGCUCAACCAUAGUUCGCUUUGGAAACUGUCAAACUUGAGUGCAGAAGGGGAGAGUGGAAUUCCAUGUGUAGCGGUGAAAUGCGUAGAUAUAUGGAGGAACACCGGUGGCGAAAGCGGCUCUCUGGUCUGUAACUGACGCUGAGGCUCGGAAGCGUGGGGAGCGAACAGG
RNAcentral lists this ribosomal RNA (765 nucleotides) under uncultured Streptococcus sp. RNAcentral's name for it is "bacterial SSU rRNA". It matches the Rfam family "Bacterial small subunit ribosomal RNA", at positions 28 to 776 of the family's 1533-position model. Lineage: Bacteria; Bacillati; Bacillota; Bacilli; Lactobacillales; Streptococcaceae. The record is from RNAcentral.